UACGGAGGGUGCAAGCGUUAUCCGGAAUCACUGGGUUUAAAGGGUGCGUAGGCGGUUAGAUAAGUCAGUCGUGAAAGGUUUCCGCUCAACGGGAGACGUGCGAAUGAUACUGUCUAACUUGAACAUAGAUAAAGUGGGCGGAAUGCGUCAUGUAGCGGUGAAAUGCAUAGAUAUGACGUAGAACACCGAAAGCGAAGGCAGCUCACAGUACUAUAGUUGACGCUGAGGCACGAAAGCGUGGGUAGCGAACAGG
This 253-nucleotide ribosomal RNA is filed under the name uncultured bacterium. RNAcentral describes it as "partial 16S ribosomal RNA". It matches the Rfam family "Bacterial small subunit ribosomal RNA", at positions 524 to 776 of the family's 1533-position model. RNAcentral also lists the same sequence under 1 other name. The record is from RNAcentral.